This 972-nucleotide ribosomal RNA is filed under the name uncultured Neisseria sp. Its description in RNAcentral is "bacterial SSU rRNA". It matches the Rfam family "Bacterial small subunit ribosomal RNA", at positions 27 to 988 of the family's 1533-position model. Lineage: Bacteria; Pseudomonadati; Pseudomonadota; Betaproteobacteria; Neisseriales; Neisseriaceae. The record is from RNAcentral.
GAUUGAACGCUGGCGGCAUGCUUUACACAUGCAAGUCGGACGGCAGCACAGAGAAGCUUGCUUCUUGGGUGGCGAGUGGCGAACGGGUGAGUAAUAUAUCGGAACGUACCGAGUAAUGGGGGAUAACUAAUCGAAAGAUUAGCUAAUACCGCAUAUUCUCUGAGGAGGAAAGCAGGGGACCUUCGGGCCUUGCGUUAUUCGAGCGGCCGAUAUCUGAUUAGCUAGUUGGUGGGGUAAAGGCCUACCAAGGCGACGAUCAGUAGCGGGUCUGAGAGGAUGAUCCGCCACACUGGGACUGAGACACGGCCCAGACUCCUACGGGAGGCAGCAGUGGGGAAUUUUGGACAAUGGGCGCAAGCCUGAUCCAGCCAUGCCGCGUGUCUGAAGAAGGCCUUCGGGUUGUAAAGGACUUUUGUCAGGGAAGAAAAGGCUGUUGCUAAUACCGACAGCUGAUGACGGUACCUGAAGAAUAAGCACCGGCUAACUACGUGCCAGCAGCCGCGGUAAUACGUAGGGUGCGAGCGUUAAUCGGAAUUACUGGGCGUAAAGCGAGCGCAGACGGUUACUUAAGCAGGAUGUGAAAUCCCCGGGCUCAACCUGGGAACUGCGUUCUGAACUGGGUGACUAGAGUGUGUCAGAGGGAGGUAGAAUUCCACGUGUAGCAGUGAAAUGCGUAGAGAUGUGGAGGAAUACCGAUGGCGAAGGCAGCCUCCUGGGAUAACACUGACGUUCAUGCUCGAAAGCGUGGGUAGCAAACAGGAUUAGAUACCCUGGUAGUCCACGCCCUAAACGAUGUCAAUUAGCUGUUGGGCAACUUGAUUGCUUAGUAGCGUAGCUAACGCGUGAAAUUGACCGCCUGGGGAGUACGGUCGCAAGAUUAAAACUCAAAGGAAUUGACGGGGACCCGCACAAGCGGUGGAUGAUGUGGAUUAAUUCGAUGCAACGCGAAGAACCUUACCUGGUCUUGACAUG